AUUGCCCUAGUAACGGCGAGUGAAGCGGCAACAGCUCAAAUUUGAAAUCUGGCCUUCGGGUCCGAGUUGUAAUUUGCAGAGGAUGCUUUUGGCGCGGUGCCUUCCGAGUUCCCUGGAAUGGGACGCCUUAGAGGGUGAGAGCCCCGUACGGUUGGACACUAAGCCUCUGUAAAGCUCCUUCGACGAGUCGAGUAGUUUGGGAAUGCUGCUCUAAAUGGGAGGUAAAUUUCUUCUAAAGCUAAAUAUUGGCCAGAGACCGAUAGCGCACAAGUAGAGUGAUCGAAAGAUGAAAAGCACUUUGAAAAGAGGGUUAAAUAGCACGUGAAAUUGUUGAAAGGGAAGCGUUUGCGACCAGACCUUUUCCUGGCGGAUCAUCCGGUGUUCUCACCGGUGCACUUCGCCAGGUCGAGGCCAGCAUCGGUUUUCGUAGGGGGAUAAAAGCCUGAGGAACGUAGCUCCCUCGGGAGUGUUAUAGCCCCUCGCAUAAUACCUUUACGGGGACCGAGGACCGCGCCUUCGGGCAAGGAUGCUGGCAUAAUGGUUGUCAACGACCCGUCUUGAAACACGGACCAAGGAGUCGAACAUUUGUGCGAGUGUUUGGGUGUUAAACCCUCACGCGUAAUGAAAGUGAACGGAGGUGAGAGCCCCUUGCGGGGUGCAUCAUCGACCGAUCCUGAUGUCUUCGGAUGGAUUUGAGUAAGAGCAUAACUGUUCGGACCCGAAAGAUGGUGAACUAUGCGUGGAUAGGGUGAAGCCAGAGGAAACUCUGGUGGAGGCUCGCAGCGGUUCUGACGUGCAAAUCGAUCGUCAAAUCUGCGCAUGGGGGCGAAAGACUUAUCGAACCAUCUAGUAGCUGGUUACCGCCGAAGUUUCCCUCAGGAUAGCAGUGUUGUUCUUCAGUUUUAUGAGGUAAAGCGAAUGAUUAGGGACUCGGGGGCGCUUUUUAGCCUUCAUCCAUUCUCAAACUUUAAAUAUGUAAGAAGCCCUUGUUACUUAAUUGAACGUGGGCAUUCGAAUGUACCAACACUAGUGGGCCAUUUUUGGUAAGCAGAACUGGCGAUGCGGGAUGAACCGAACGCGGGGUUAAGGUGCCGGAGUGGACGCUCAUCAGACACCACAAAAGGUGUUAGCACAUUUAGACAAUAGGACGGUGGCCAUGGAAGUCGGAAUCCGCUAAGGACUGUGUAACAACUCACCUAUCGAAUGUGCUAGCCCUGAAAAUGGAUGGCGCUCAAGCGUCCCACCUAUACCUCGCCCUCAGGGUAGGACCGAUGCCCUGAGGAGUAGGCGGCCGUGGGGGUCAGUGACGAA
RNAcentral lists this ribosomal RNA (1311 nucleotides) under Ustulina deusta. RNAcentral's name for it is "LSU rRNA". It matches the Rfam family "Eukaryotic large subunit ribosomal RNA", at positions 74 to 1407 of the family's 3401-position model. The record is from RNAcentral. Lineage: Eukaryota; Fungi; Ascomycota; Sordariomycetes; Xylariales; Xylariaceae.